GGCGGUUAAGGUCGGUGUGUAUGGUAUUGGUAUUACAAAAGUGAAUAAUGUAUAAAUAGGGACAAAUAAGGUAGUACUGUACUUGGUUCAUAACUUCAUAUACAUAAUUAAUUGACCAGGUAGUAGUUCCCAGAAAUCACGUGGCCUCCACAUGCUGCUGCUAUAUUUUAAACAUUACAAUUGUGUCUCGAUCUGCUCCAUGCUCUUAAUUUCCUUGUGAGUCCUCAUCCUCGCCUUCAAAUUACUAGUAGCUGCGUCCUUGGAUCAAUUAAUUCUGGUCUUUAAAGUGGGACACCCAAUGCAUGAAGAUGAUGUUUAUAUGCAAAGUACCCCUUGAUAGAUAAGUUCAAUCAUCUUCGUCUAUUUUCUUGAGGCAGACUCCUCUCCAGUAAUGGAGAGAGAAACAUUGUAAAAACUAAUACAAAAAGUAAAAUGAAAUAAUAAUUAUAUCUU
RNAcentral lists this long non-coding RNA (453 nucleotides) under Lupinus angustifolius (narrow-leaved blue lupine). Its description in RNAcentral is "long non-coding RNA (LANG_LNC001660)". The record is from RNAcentral. Lineage: Eukaryota; Viridiplantae; Streptophyta; Magnoliopsida; Fabales; Fabaceae.